AUACUUACCUGGCAGGACAGACACCAUGAUCACGAUGGUGGUUUUCCCAGGACAAGGCUUAUCCAUGUACUCCAGGUGUGCUGACCCCUGCGAUUUCCCCAAACCUGGGAAAUUUGACUGCAUCAUCUGUGGUACUGGUGGACUGUGUUCAUGCUUUCCCCCU
Small nuclear RNA from Artibeus jamaicensis (Jamaican fruit-eating bat), 163 nucleotides. RefSeq annotates it as U1 spliceosomal RNA. The record is from RefSeq and is a predicted model, not a curated record. The transcript has a single exon. Lineage: Eukaryota; Metazoa; Chordata; Mammalia; Chiroptera; Phyllostomidae.